GACGAACGCUGGCGGCGUGCUUAACACAUGCAAGUCGAACGAGGUCCACUGCGGAGCAAUCCAAGGGAAGACCUAGUGGCGAACGGGUGCGUAACACGUGAGGAACUUGUCCCGGUCUCUGGGAUAACAGUUGGAAACGACUGCUAAUACCGGAUGACGUCGGAAUCUCGCAUGGGAUGCUGACGAAAGGGUUACCGGAUCGGGAGAGCCUCGCGGCCUAUCAGCUUGUUGGUGGGGUAACGGCCCACCAAGGCAUCGACGGGUAGCUGGUCUGAGAGGAUGAUCAGCCACACUGGGACAGAGACACGGCCCAGACUCCUACGGGAGGCAGCAGUGGGGAAUCUUGCGCAAUGGGCGAAAGCCUGACGCAGCAACGCCGCG
Molecule: ribosomal RNA, 381 nt
Filed under: uncultured bacterium
Lineage: Bacteria
Description: bacterial SSU rRNA
Rfam family: Bacterial small subunit ribosomal RNA
Source: RNAcentral